Molecule: non-coding RNA, 417 nt
Organism: Pelobates cultripes (western spadefoot toad)
Lineage: Eukaryota; Metazoa; Chordata; Amphibia; Anura; Pelobatidae
Source: the annotation of a GenBank genome assembly
GUCGUUCGUAUGUCGACCACGAGGCAGCUGCCAUUUUAAAUCAUGCGAACGCUCAGCGGUGUUUGGCUCUAUUUCUAUGGAACGGAAAACGGACACUUUUUCUGUCGAACACCGCUGAAACAAGGGAACGCCUGGCUGCCUCCACGAAAGCAUGCGAACAUCGGCCGUUCGGGAGAUUGAGAACACGCAAAAGACUUAACCCAGAUAGCCCACCCAUGGAGUCAUUCGUGUACCGAAGGACUGUAAGAACUUUGACUCCAUGGCGAUUGAACUAUGUGUGUGGGACCUGAGCGCUAUUCGCCAAUAAUAUGCACUCAGAUCCAGGCUAUCUGGGGACAUGUAAUACGAAUGGGAAAUGUUCAGUUUUCAUGUAGUUAUGCAUUUUUGUGUCUUUUAUUAUUUCAUGCUUAAGAUGGC